RNAcentral lists this ribosomal RNA (819 nucleotides) under uncultured organism. RNAcentral describes it as "SSU rRNA". It matches the Rfam family "Bacterial small subunit ribosomal RNA", at positions 646 to 1473 of the family's 1533-position model. The record is from RNAcentral.
GUAGUGCAGAGGUAGGCGGAAUUCCCGGUGUAGCGGUGGAAUGCGUAGAUAUCGGGAGGAACACCAGUGGCGAAGGCGGCCUACUGGGCACCAACUGACGCUGAGGCUCGAAAGUGUGGGUAGCAAACAGGAUUAGAUACCCUGGUAGUCCACACCGUAAACGAUGAUUACUAGGUGUUGGAGGAUUGACCCCUUCAGUGCCGCAGUUAACACAAUAAGUAAUCCACCUGGGGAGUACGACCGCAAGGUUGAAACUCAAAGGAAUUGACGGGGGCCCGCACAAGCAGUGGAGUAUGUGGUUUAAUUCGACGCAACGCGAAGAACCUUACCAAGUCUUGACAUCCCUUGACGAUACUGGAAACAGUAUUUCUCUUCGGAGCAAGGAGACAGGUGGUGCAUGGUUGUCGUCAGCUAGUGUCGUGAGAUGUUGGGUUAAGUCCCGCAACGAGCGCAACCCUUAUGGUCAGUUACUACGCAAGAGGACUCUGGCCAGACUGCCGUUGACAAAACGGAGGAAGGUGGGGAUGACGUCAAAUCAUCAUGCCCUUAUGACUUGGGCUACACACGUACUACAAUGGCGUUAAACAAAGAGAAGCAAGACCGCGAGGUGGAGCAAAACUCAGAAACAACGUCCCAGUUCGGACUGCAGGCUGCAACUCGCCUGCACGAAGUCGGAAUUGCUAGUAAUCGUGGAUCAGCAUGCCACGGUGAAUACGUUCCCGGGCCUUGUACACACCGCCCGUCACACCAUGAGAGCCGGGGGGACCCGAAGUCGGUAGUCUAACCGCAAGGAGGACGCCGCCGAAGGUAAAACUGGUG